This 433-nucleotide ribosomal RNA is filed under the name uncultured bacterium. Its description in RNAcentral is "partial 16S ribosomal RNA". It matches the Rfam family "Bacterial small subunit ribosomal RNA", at positions 29 to 507 of the family's 1533-position model. The record is from RNAcentral.
AGCGAACGCUGGCGGCAGGCCUAACACAUGCAAGUCGAACGAACUCUUCGGAGUUAGUGGCGGACGGGGGAGUAACACGUGGGAACGUGCCUUUUGGUUCGGAAUAACUCAGGGAAACUUGUGCUAAUACCGAAUGUGCCCUUCGGGGGAAAGAUUUAUCGCCAUUAGAGCGGCCCGCGUCUGAUUAGCUAGUUGGUGAGGUAACGGCUCACCAAGGCGACGAUCAGUAGCUGGUCUGAGAGGAUGACAAGCCACACUGGGAAUGAGACACGGCCCAGAAUCCGACGGGAGGCAGCAGUGGGGAAUCUUGCGCAAUGGGCGAAAGCGUGACGCAGCCAUGCCGCGGGAAUGAUGAAGGUCUUAGGAUUGUAAAAUUCUUUCACCGGGGACGAUAAUGACGGUACCCGGAGAAGAAGCCCCGGCUAACUUCGUG